CGUCUGUCUUCCACCCUCCCUCAAUACAACAGCAGGCCUGGGAAGAGAACCCUUCUGCAGUUUCCCUCCCAGCUCCAGCCUGAGCUAGGGGUGUGAAGAACCCCAGAAGCUGUAAGAGGAACAGAGUGUAUCAAGAAGAAUUCAAGACCUGCUGUCUCAAGUAAAGGAAAAGUUCAUAAAAUGUGUAAAACAGAGCAGCCUGAAACAACAGCUGUAAGAGAGGCAUGAACUGUUUCCAAUCAAUCUCAAUGGGAGGGUUAACUGUCAAACCUAAUACUGUAAGCAGGGUUGUUGUAGCCACGUCGGUCCCAAGAUAUUAGAGA
This is a long non-coding RNA of Malaclemys terrapin pileata, 323 nucleotides long. RefSeq lists it as uncharacterized. NCBI's taxonomy places the organism in Eukaryota, Metazoa, Chordata, Testudines, Emydidae. The transcript has 3 exons. The record is from RefSeq and is a predicted model, not a curated record.